CUACGAAGGGGGCUAGCGUUGUUCGGAUUUACUGGGCGUAAAGCGCACGUAGGCGGAUUGAUUAGUUAGGGGUGAAAUCCCGAGGCUCAACCUCGGAACUGCCUUUAAUACUGUCAAUCUCGAGACCGGAAGAGGUGAGUGGAACUCCUAGUGUAGAGGUGGAAUUCGUAGAUAUUAGGAAGAACACCAGUGGCGAAGGCGGCUCACUGGUCCGGUACUGACGCUGAGGUGCGAAAGCGUGGGGAGCGAACAGGAUUAGAAACCCUAGUAGUCC
Molecule: ribosomal RNA, 274 nt
Filed under: uncultured bacterium
Lineage: Bacteria
Description: partial 16S ribosomal RNA
Rfam family: Bacterial small subunit ribosomal RNA
Source: RNAcentral